ACGAACGCUGGCGGCGUGCUUAACACAUGCAAGUCGAACGGUGAAGCGCCUUCCUUUUUGGUGGGUGUGGAUGAGUGGCGAACGGGUGAGUAACACGUGAGUAACCUGCCCCCUUCUUCUGGAUAACCGCAUGAAAGUGUGGCUAAUACGGGAUAUUCUGGGUCUGUCGCAUGAUGGGUCUGGGAAAGAUAUUGUUUCGGUGGGGGAUGGGCUCGCGGCCUAUCAGCUUGUUGGUGGGGUGAUGGCCUACCAAGGCGGUGACGGGUAGCCGGCCUGAGAGGGUGGACGGUCACACUGGGACUGAGACACGGCCCAGACUCCUACGGGAGGCAGCAGUGGGGAAUAUUGCACAAUGGGCGCAAGCCUGAUGCAGCGACGCCGCGUGAGGGAUGGAGGCCUUCGGGUUGUGAACCUCUUUCGCCAGUGAAGCAGGCCUGCCUCGUUUGUGAGUGGGUUGACGGUAGCUGGAUAAGAAGCGCCGGCUAACUACGUG
RNAcentral lists this ribosomal RNA (493 nucleotides) under uncultured bacterium. RNAcentral describes it as "partial 16S ribosomal RNA". It matches the Rfam family "Bacterial small subunit ribosomal RNA", at positions 29 to 507 of the family's 1533-position model. The record is from RNAcentral.